CAGCAGCCGCGGUAAUACGAAGGUCCCAAGCGUUAUUCGGAAUCACUGGGCGUAAAGGGAGCGUAGGCGGCGUGGUAAGUCAGAUGUGAAAUCCCGGGGCUCAACCCCGGAACUGCAUCCGAUACUGCCAUGCUAGAGGAUUGGAGAGGUUGCUGGAAUUCUUGGUGUAGCAGUGAAAUGCGUAGAGAUCAAGAGGAACACUCGUGGCGAAAGCGAGCUACUGGACAAUUCCUGACGCUGAGGCUCGAGGGCUAGGGUGGCGAAAGGGAUUAGAUACCCCUGUAGUCCUAGCAGUAAACGGUGCACGCUUGGUGUGAGGGGAAUCGACCCCCCUUGUGCCGGAGCUAACGCGUUAAGCGUGCCGCCUGGGAAGUACGGUCGCAAGACUAAAACUCAUAGAAAUUGACGGGGAUCCGCACAAGCGGUGGAGUAUGUG
RNAcentral lists this ribosomal RNA (436 nucleotides) under uncultured Verrucomicrobiota bacterium. RNAcentral's name for it is "bacterial SSU rRNA". It matches the Rfam family "Bacterial small subunit ribosomal RNA", at positions 509 to 943 of the family's 1533-position model. Lineage: Bacteria; Pseudomonadati; Verrucomicrobiota. The record is from RNAcentral.